AACGAUGACUUUUGUGCUUGCACAGAAUGAUUAGUGGCGAACGGGUGAGUAACACGUGAGUAACCUGCCCCUGACUCUGGGAUAAGCCUGGGAAACUGGGUCUAAUACCGGAUAUGCACCGUUGACCGCAUGGUUUUUGGUGGAAAGAUUUUUUGGUCAGGGAUGGACUCGCGGCCUAUCAGCUUGUUGGUGAGGUAAUGGCUCACCAAGGCGACGACGGGUAGCCGGCCUGAGAGGGUGACCGGCCACACUGGGACUGAGACACGGCCCAGACUCCUACGGGAGGCAGCAGUGGGGAAUAUUGCACAAUGGGCGAAAGCCUGAUGCAGCGACGCCGCGUGAGGGAUGACGGCCUUCGGGUUGUAAACCUCUUUCAGUAGGGAAGAAGCGAAAGUGACGGUACCUGCAGAAGAAGCGCCGGCUAACUACGUGCCAGCAGCCGCGGUAAUACGUAGGGCGCAAGCGUUAUCCGGAAUUAUUGGGCGUAAAGAGCUCGUAGGCGGUUUGUCGCGUCUAUCGUGAAAGUCCGAGGCUCAACCUCGGAUCUGCGGUGGGUACGGGCAGACUAGAGUGAUGUAGGGGAGACUGGAAUUCCUGGUGUAGCGGUGAAAUGCGCAGAUAUCAGGAGGAACACCGAUGGCGAAGGCAGGUCUCUGGGCAUUAACUGACGCUGAGGAGCGAAAGCAUGGGGAGCGAACAGGAUUAGAUACCCUGGUAGUCCAUGCCGUAAACGUUGGGCACUAGGUGUGG
This 750-nucleotide ribosomal RNA is filed under the name uncultured Arthrobacter sp. RNAcentral describes it as "bacterial SSU rRNA". It matches the Rfam family "Bacterial small subunit ribosomal RNA", at positions 65 to 825 of the family's 1533-position model. Lineage: Bacteria; Bacillati; Actinomycetota; Actinomycetes; Micrococcales; Micrococcaceae. The record is from RNAcentral.